This 516-nucleotide ribosomal RNA is filed under the name Triticum aestivum (bread wheat). RNAcentral describes it as "partial small subunit ribosomal RNA". The record is from RNAcentral. Lineage: Eukaryota; Viridiplantae; Streptophyta; Magnoliopsida; Poales; Poaceae.
GGUCAUUUCACUGUGAGUUGCCCUCAAGCUGUUUGUCAACGAUGCAAGAAAAAUGGGCAUCUAUACAUUAUCUGUAAGGAGUUCAUACCGUGGGAGUGUUUGCCUGUUAUGUGUGCUUUCCAAUCUAAGGGGCAAGGGUUCCAUUUCAUUCCUGACACGAACAUUGAUAGGCAAGCUAGAGAGCGCAUCUACAAUAUCGUUGUUACUAUCAUAGAGGGCUCUGCUCCCAGUAAGGAUAUUGAACAUGAGCUUAGUGUCUAUGUUGGGCAAGGCUGGCGCUGCUCUGCUAGGUUUUUUGCUCCACAAAAAUUUGUUAUGAGAAUGCCUAAUCCCAGGGAGGUGGAUCGUGCUCUGUUUGUUGAAUUCAUUAAGCUCAAAAAGUGCGGUGUGAGUGUCAAAUUCUCCCCCUGGUCUAAAGAUGUGGAUGCUGAAGGGCUCCUUGAGAUAGCCUGGGUUAGGAUUGGGAAAAUACCACCUAACAAGCGUAAUGAUAAAACUGUGGCUUAUGUUGGGGGC